Long non-coding RNA from Ctenopharyngodon idella (grass carp), 2178 nucleotides. RefSeq lists it as uncharacterized. The record is from RefSeq and is a predicted model, not a curated record. The transcript has 3 exons. NCBI's taxonomy places the organism in Eukaryota, Metazoa, Chordata, Actinopteri, Cypriniformes, Xenocyprididae.
AUAACCCACCAAAACCCAUCCUAACUAAUCCAUAACAGACCCAAUAGAGUUUAAAGUAAUCCAUAACCCAACCAAACACAUCGUAACUAAUCAAUAACAGACCCAGUAGAGUUUAUAGUAAUCUAUAACCCACCCAAACACAUCUUAACUAAUCUAUAACUCACACAAGAGUUUAAAGUAAUCUAUAACCCAACCAAACACAUUUUAACUAAUCUAUAACUCACUCAAUAGAGUUUAAAGUAAUCCAUAACCCACCCAAACACAUCUUAACUAAUCCAUAACCUAUCCAAAUGCAAGUUAACUAAUCCAUAACCCACACAAACACAGGUUAACUAGUCCAUAACCCACGUAAACACAGGUUAUCUAAUCCAUAACCCACCCAAGCAUAUGUUAACUAGCCCAUAACUAGGGUUGGGAAUCGUGAGAAAUUUUCUGGUUCCGAUUCCAGUUCUGCCUAAAGAUUCCGGUUCUGGUUCCAUUACAAUAAUUAAACAACUAAUAAAAAACAGUAGUAAGUGAAAAAUGCACAAUACUUGACUCAAACUGUCCUUUUUGUGUUCAUUAUUCUUGUAAAAUGAAUUUAACAGACUGUUAAUCUCAACAAAUUAACACUUUACAAUAAGGUUCAUUAGUUAACAUUAGUUAACUACAUUAACAUGAACUAAUAAUGAACUGCAUUUCUACAGCAUUUAUUAAUAUCUGUUAAUGUUAAUUUCAUCAUUUACUAAUACAUUAUUAAAUUCAAGAGUUGUAUUUGUUAACAUUAGUUAAUGCACUGUGGAGUAACAUGAACAAACUAUGAACGGCUGUAUUUUUAUUAACUAACAUGAACAAAGAUUAACAAAUACAGUAACAAAUGUAUCACUCAUGGUUAGUUCAUAAAUGAACCUCAUUGUAACGUGUUACCACAAAUUAGAUAAGAUGCUUGAACACACAUGUAAGAUCCAGACAGGUGAAACAGAAUAUUUUUGUAAGUUGGAUUCAUGAAGACUUGUUUCUGAAAGAAUGAUUCAGUGAUAGACAUAUUUUUAACAGUAAAUUUGUUGCCACCUAGUGGCGUAACAAUGCAAUCGAUACGAAUCCAUAACCCAACCAAAUGCAGGUUAUCUAAUCCAUAACCCACCCAAACACAGGUUAUCUAAUCCAUAACCCAACUAAGCAUAGGUUAACUAGUCCAUAACCCACGUAAACACAGGUUAACGAAUACAUAACCCACCCAAACACAGGUUAACGAAUCCAUAACCCAUCCAAAUGCAGGUUAUCUAAGCCAUAACCCAGCCAAGCAUAGGUUAUCUAAUCCAUAACCCACCCAAGCAUAGGUUAACUAGUCCAUAACCCACGUAAACACAGGUUAACGAAUCCAUAACCCAUCUAAAUGCAGGUUAUCUAAUCCAUAACCCAGCCAAGCAUAGGUUAUCUAAUCCAUAACCCACGCAAGCAUAGGUUAAUUAGUACAUAACCCACGCAAAACACAGGUUAACGAAUCCAUAACUCAUCUAAAUGCAAGUUAUCUAAUCCAUAACCCACCCAAACAUAGGUUAACUAGUCCAUAACCCACGUAAACACAGGUUAACUAAUCCAUAACCCACCCAAACAUAGGUUAACUAGUCCAUAACCCACGUAAACACAGGUUAACUAAUCCAUAACCCACACAAAACACAGGUUAAUGAAUCCAUAACCAAUCCAAAUGCUGGUUAACUAAUCCAUAACCCACGCAAACAUAGGUUAACUAGUCCAUAACCCUUGUAAACACAGGUUAACUAAUCCAUAACCCACUCAAAACACGUGUUAACUAGUCAAUAACCCACGUAAACACAGGUUAACUAAUCCAUAACCCACUCAAAACACAGGUUAAUGAAUCAAUACGCCACCCAAACAAAGGUUAACUAAUCCAUUACCCUAAACUAACCAAAUAUAGGGGAACUGUAAAUCCAUAGCCCUCCCAAACAUAGGUUAACUAAUUCAUAACCUUAACCCACCUGCACAGGUUAAUCAGACUUGUGUGUGUGUGUUUGUGUGUGUGUGUGUUUGUGUGUGUGUUUGUGUGUGUGUGUGUGUGUGUUUGUGUGUGUGUGUGUGUUUGCGUGUGUGUGUGUGUGUGUGUGUUUGUGUGUGUGUGUUUGUGUGUGUGUGUUUGUGUGUGUGUGUGUUUGUGUGUGUGUGUGUGUUUGUGCGUGU